AUUGAACGCUGGCGGCAGGCCUAACACAUGCAAGUCGAACGAGUGGCGGACGGGUGAGUAAUGUCUGGGAAACUGCCUGAUGGAGGGGGAUAACUACUGGAAACGGUAGCUACUACCGCAUACCAUCGGAUGUGCCCAGAAGGGAUUAGCUAGUAGGUGGGGUAACGGCUCACCUAGGCAACGAUCCCUAGCUGGUCUGAGAGGGUGACCAGCCACACUGGAACGGAGACACGGUCCAGACUCCUCCGGGAGGCAUCAGUGGGGAAUAUUUCACAAUGGGCGCAAGCCUGAUGCAGCCAUGCCGCGUGUAUGAAGAAGGCCUUCGGGUUGUAAAGUACUUUCAGCGGGGAGGCGUUACCCGCAGAAGAAGCACCGGCUAACUCCGUGCCAGCAGCCGCGGUAAUUC
RNAcentral lists this ribosomal RNA (406 nucleotides) under uncultured bacterium. RNAcentral describes it as "partial 16S ribosomal RNA". It matches the Rfam family "Bacterial small subunit ribosomal RNA", at positions 30 to 526 of the family's 1533-position model. The record is from RNAcentral.